This 73-nucleotide transfer RNA is filed under the name Candidatus Riflebacteria bacterium RBG_13_59_9. RNAcentral's name for it is "tRNA-Lys". It matches the Rfam family "tRNA". From Rfam's summary of the family: Transfer RNA (tRNA) molecules are approximately 80 nucleotides in length. Their secondary structure includes four short double-helical elements and three loops (D, anti-codon, and T loops). Further hydrogen bonds mediate the characteristic L-shaped molecular structure. tRNAs have two regions of fundamental functional importance: the anti-codon, which is responsible for specific mRNA codon recognition, and the 3' end, to which the tRNAs corresponding amino acid is attached (by aminoacyl-tRNA synthetases). tRNAs cope with the degeneracy of the genetic code in two manners: having more than one tRNA (with a specific anti-codon) for a particular amino acid; and 'wobble' base-pairing, i.e. permitting non-standard base-pairing at the 3rd anti-codon position. The record is from RNAcentral. Lineage: Bacteria; Candidatus Rifleibacteriota.
GGGCCAGUAGCUCAACCGGUAGAGCGUUUGACUCUUAAUCAAAAUGUUGGGGGUUCGAGCCCUCCCUGGCCCA